RNAcentral lists this ribosomal RNA (253 nucleotides) under uncultured bacterium. Its description in RNAcentral is "partial 16S ribosomal RNA". It matches the Rfam family "Bacterial small subunit ribosomal RNA", at positions 524 to 776 of the family's 1533-position model. The record is from RNAcentral.
UACAGAGGUCCCGAGCGUUGUUCGGAUUCACUGGGCGUAAAGGGUGUGUAGGAGGCGUGGUAAGUCUGAUGUGAAAUCUCACCGCUCAACGGUGAAACUGCAUUGGAUACUGCCGGGCUAGAGGUCUUGAGGGGGAAUCGGAAUUCUUGGUGUAGCAGUGAAAUGCGUAGAUAUCAGGAGGAACACCAGUGGCGAAGGCGGAUUCCUGGAAAGUACCUGACUCUGAAACACGAAAGCCAGGGGAGCAAACGGG